UACGAAGGGGGCUAGCGUUGCUCGGAAUUACUGGGCGUAAAGCGCGCGUAGGCGGAUCUUUAAGUCAGGGGUGAAAUCCCGGGGCUCAACCCCGGAACUGCCUUUGAUACUGGGGAUCUUGAGUUCGAGAGAGGUCGGUGGAACUGCGAGUGUAGAGGUGAAAUUCGUAGAUAUUCGCAAGAACACCAGUGGCGAAGGCGGCCGACUGGCUCGACACUGACGCUGAGGCGCGAAAGCGUGGGGAGCAAACAGG
RNAcentral lists this ribosomal RNA (253 nucleotides) under uncultured Hyphomicrobiales bacterium. RNAcentral describes it as "uncultured Rhizobiales bacterium partial 16S ribosomal RNA". It matches the Rfam family "Bacterial small subunit ribosomal RNA", at positions 524 to 776 of the family's 1533-position model. The record is from RNAcentral. Lineage: Bacteria; Pseudomonadati; Pseudomonadota; Alphaproteobacteria; Hyphomicrobiales.